AGGGUCCUCAGCUUUUCUUUCCAUAGGUUCCAGAGGCCGUAGUUUCUUUCUCAAGCCCCUAGCCUGGCACGCAGUAGGUGCUCAACAGAAUGAAGGGAGG
RNAcentral lists this small RNA (100 nucleotides) under Pan troglodytes (chimpanzee). RNAcentral's name for it is "processed transcript". Lineage: Eukaryota; Metazoa; Chordata; Mammalia; Primates; Hominidae. The record is from RNAcentral.